GUGCUCGCUUGGCAGCACAUAUACUAAAACUGGACCCACACAGAGAAGAUUCGCAUGGCCCCUGCGCAUGUAUGACACGCCAAUUCGAGAAGCGUUCCAUAUUAAA
Small nuclear RNA from Artibeus jamaicensis (Jamaican fruit-eating bat), 106 nucleotides. The record is from RefSeq and is a predicted model, not a curated record. Lineage: Eukaryota; Metazoa; Chordata; Mammalia; Chiroptera; Phyllostomidae.